UGAGCAAGCCACUGUGAGCCAUGGUGCUGCUUCUGUCCCUUGGGUGUCCCCCAAAACAGGCACAGCCUGGGAUGGGGCACAAGGUGGGGUGCUGGGGCUUGCAGCUCAAGCUGAUCUUGUCCCAAGACCCUCAAGUUCACUUUUUUUUUUUUUUUUUUGUGAAAAGACAUGGUCGCCUCAGGAUCCAGAUCCUGAGCUGGGAUGGGAAACUCGCAUUAAAUUGCGAGGAUGAAAGGAAGCGUUUUAUGCCAGUUAUUCAUUAGAAGUGUUGUAUCACUGCUGUGCUGCAGAGGAGGCACAAAGCCCCAGCUGUAGGUGAUCAUUAAAUAUCCCUCUUCAGUUUUACAGCUUCUCCAUUUGGGCUAUGUUUUGCCUAAAAAACACAUACAUGCACAUCAAGUUUUGACUCUAAACUUUCCCCACCAAUGCUCAUCUUCCACCAUGUGUGAAUGCAGAGUUUCUUCCCCAAAACGUCCUGCAAUGGUUUGGGGUUUGAAGCAUGUCUUUGAGACUGCAAAUGCCAUUUGAAGGCAACAUGACAGAGCACCGCACUAGUGAGAGAAGCCACUGGGCAGAAGAUGCUUGCAGAAAAAAA
Molecule: long non-coding RNA, 595 nt
Organism: Oxyura jamaicensis (ruddy duck)
Lineage: Eukaryota; Metazoa; Chordata; Aves; Anseriformes; Anatidae
Exons: 2
Source: RefSeq, a predicted model, not a curated record